Amphimedon queenslandica is the source of this 407-nucleotide long non-coding RNA. RefSeq lists it as uncharacterized. The record is from RefSeq and is a predicted model, not a curated record. The transcript is spliced from 3 exons. NCBI's taxonomy places the organism in Eukaryota, Metazoa, Porifera, Demospongiae, Haplosclerida, Niphatidae.
UAUGUAGGUGUGGUUCGUUUGCAUGAAGAAUGAUUUCUUGCAGUUUCAUUGCUGUUUUCCUUGCUUUGCAAGCUUCCUUUACAAAAUCAGACCAGAUUGAGAGGUCACUAGAUGGAAAGAACUGGCAGUUAUCAGAUUCUGCUGGAAAAGUCUUCCAGCCACAGUCCCUGGAAUAGCCUACUAGCACAGAAAGUCAUUUAUGAUCUUUAUUUUGGUGAGAAACUGAGAAUGAUUCAAAUUAUCAAUGGAUACCGUAUGAGACAACAUUUGAUUUGACUGGUGAUGAUGUGAAAAAUCGCGAGUUAUCCAAACGGUGAGAGUGAGUCUCAGUUUGUGUUUAUAUGUCACUCGCCUCAAGAGCUGUUGAUUAAACAACCGAUCAAAGGGAAGCAUAAAUUAUGUGAGUA